CCUUCCCUUCAACGACCUCACACUCUGCUUCAACACUUAAAUGCUCAUACCUCACCUCUAUGUUCGGAAACGCUACACCAACCCUGCAUGUAAGAAACUUCAGUUAAAGCCACAAGUUCAAGAUUCACAAGGUUUGUUUCCUGAUCUCAUCUUUCACCUGUCCAUUCUUUUUCUAAUCUUCUUGAGCAGCUUGAGAUUAUCAUUCUCAAUGUGUUUGAUCAGAUUCUCAAUCAUUAGAUGACGUUCCAUGGCUCCAAGCUUGGUGACAUCAGCCACCUUUUUCCCUUUCUUCACAGCCUCACCAUCUUCAUCGACCAGAGAUGAUCUCAGCCGUUUGAAAGUGGGUAACCUCUGGAUCUCAGCCCAUUGCAGAGCAUGCUCAGCCU
RNAcentral lists this long non-coding RNA (386 nucleotides) under Brassica rapa (field mustard). RNAcentral's name for it is "long non-coding RNA (BRAP_LNC003280)". The record is from RNAcentral. Lineage: Eukaryota; Viridiplantae; Streptophyta; Magnoliopsida; Brassicales; Brassicaceae.